UUGAACGCUGGCGGCAGGCCUAACACAUGCAAGUCGAGCGGAUGAAGGGAGCUUGCUCCUGGAUUCAGCGGCGGACGGGCGAGUAAUGCCUAGGAAUCUGCCUGGUAGUGGGGGAUAACGUCCGGAAACGGGCGCUAAUACCGCAUACGUCCUGAGGGAGAAAGUGGGGGAUCUUCGGACCUCACGCUAUCAGAUGAGCCUAGGUCGGAUUAGCUAGUUGGUGGGGUAAAGGCCUACCAAGGCGACGAUCCGUAACUGGUCUGAGAGGAUGAUCAGUCACACUGGAACUGAGACACGGUCCAGACUCCUACGGGAGGCAGCAGUGGGGAAUAUUGGACAAUGGGCGAAAGCCUGAUCCAGCCAUGCCGCGUGUGUGAAGAAGGUCUUCGGAUUGUAAAGCACUUUAAGUUGGGAGGAAGGGCAGUAAGUUAAUACCUUGCUGUUUUGACGUUACCAACAGAAUAAGCACCGGCUAACUUCGUG
RNAcentral lists this ribosomal RNA (483 nucleotides) under uncultured bacterium. RNAcentral describes it as "partial 16S ribosomal RNA". It matches the Rfam family "Bacterial small subunit ribosomal RNA", at positions 30 to 507 of the family's 1533-position model. The record is from RNAcentral.